Molecule: long non-coding RNA, 307 nt
Organism: Drosophila willistoni
Lineage: Eukaryota; Metazoa; Arthropoda; Insecta; Diptera; Drosophilidae
Exons: 3
Source: RefSeq, a predicted model, not a curated record
AAAUAAUCAUACGUGUUUAUUUUUUCUUUGUAACUUUGCUUCACUUCAUAAUCAGCAAGAUGCAUUUCUCAUCAAAGAAUUUUGUCCUGCUAGCGUUAUGUUUUUUUGGGCGUAACUAUAGUGAUUCGAAUGGACAUUAUAAUAUUAGGCCAGUGAUAAAUGUUGUUCUCCGUAAUGUCGCCUAAUGGUUCGAUUUUUGAGGUUCGGAAGAAGAUUUCAAAGUGGAUUGAAGCAGCAUAAUGUAAAAAAAUGUUUAAUUUUUGAAUAAAAUCAUAUGUCUACGUGAUUCCGAUAGUAUCAACAAGAA